CACGUAGGCACCAAGCGUUGUCCGGAUUUAUUGGGCGUAAAGAGCUCGUAGGCGGUUCGGUAAGUCGGGUGUGAAAACUCUGGGCUCAACCCAGAGCCGCCACCCGAUACUGCUGUGACUCGAGUGCGGUAGGGGAGCGGGGAAUUCCUGGUGUAGCGGUGAAGUGCGCAGAUAUCAGGAGGAACACCAGUGGCGAAGGCGCCGCUCUGGGCCGUGACUGACGCUGAGGAGCGAAAGCGUGGGUAGCAAACAGG
RNAcentral lists this ribosomal RNA (254 nucleotides) under uncultured bacterium. RNAcentral's name for it is "partial 16S ribosomal RNA". It matches the Rfam family "Bacterial small subunit ribosomal RNA", at positions 524 to 776 of the family's 1533-position model. The record is from RNAcentral.